Molecule: non-coding RNA, 809 nt
Filed under: Glycera tesselata
Lineage: Eukaryota; Metazoa; Annelida; Polychaeta; Phyllodocida; Glyceridae
Source: RNAcentral
UUAUUAUUUGGUUUUGGUUAAUAAAUUAGCUAAUUUAUUGAAGUACACAUGCAAAUAUUAGUACCCCCGUAAACUUAUAUGUUUAGCCUAAACGACAAACUAUAAAUUAAUUAAUAUAAUUAUAAUAAAGUUUACGCCUGCAGUGAAUAAUACUAAAAUAUUUAUGAAAAUAAGAAAUGGCGAAUAAAUUAAAGACUGACAAAAUCCGUGCCAGCAGCCGCGGUUAAACGGAAAGUCUAAACUAAUUACCACGGAGAACGAAAUCAACACUUGAUAAAAAAAAUUUUUUAUUAGGUACAAUUUUUUAAAUAAAUAAAUCCAUUUAUCAUCCCCUUCUUUCGACAAAGUUAAAACCAAAACAAGGAUUAGAUACCCUUUUAUUCUUAACCACACACUAAACCUCCUGGCACUACGAGCACAUGCUUAAAACCUAAAAAACUUGGCGGUUUCUCAACAUACUAGGGGAGCCUGUUCUUUAACUCGAUAAUCCACGCUUAAACUAACCUAGAAUUGUAAUACAGCUUGUGUACUGCCGUCUAAAGUUUGAAUAGCAAUAUACAAGCUAGAUAAGUUAACCUUAAUACGUCAGGUCAAAGUGCAGCUUAUAUCUAGGAUUUAAUGGGCUACAUUUUUCAAAAAUACGAAUAUAUAUUUAAACCUAUAUUAAAGAUGGACUUAGCAGUAAAUAAAAAAUAAAAAAUUUUAUUGAAGAAGCAAAAUGAGAUGCGCACAAAUCGCCCGUCACUCUUUCUGAAAAGAAAGAUAAGUCGUAACAUAGUUAGUGUAAUGGAAAUUGCACUUAUCAUAGC